UCUGCCUGCUUAGCUGCAAAUUUCAGUUAUCAUGAUUGGAGCCUUUCCGCACUGGGUUUCUUCCAGCAGUGUCAGACUUUUCUUCCUCACUCUUCAGAGGCAUCAAGUGAGAUCCACUCUGCUGUAUCCCAGAAGAUGGUGAAGGCACUGCCACCCUGAGCAGUUAGACCCCAGCACUGGGUGGGGAAGGUUGCAAGCCAUUUAAGGCCAUUUAAGACACAGAUUGUUUGAUUUAGACACUUCUCCAUCUCCCCUUGGCUUCUAUAGGCAACUCCAGAGGGAGAUGCAGGACACCUAACACUACCCCUUCUACCAAGGAUGUAGGGAACCAAUGUGAGAUCUGACUUCCACCUAACCCCUCCAGUCCUCUUCUCAGCAGGACACAAAGCACAGUUCUCUCCCCCAUCCCACCACAGGGAGAAGUGAGUGAGCAGCUGCGUGGUGCUUAGUUGCUGGAUGGGGUUAAACCACGACAGACACAUUAAAAACUCUUAAAUAUAUCAGCCAGGAAUGUCUCAGGUGGAGCUGAUUCUGCCUUGGCAAGGAAGAAGGACUGGGUAAUGCCUCAGAUGUCAGCCUGGCCUCUGCCUCUAUUUCUGAGUGUGGGAUUCAGCUCACAGAUCAUGUCAGGUGAGUAACUGAGUCCCGAUUCCACGCCCUGGACAUCAGUGGAGCUGUCUAACCCUGUAUUUCACUUUCCUAACUCCCCUUGGUUGCC
This is a long non-coding RNA of Aquila chrysaetos chrysaetos, 718 nucleotides long. RefSeq lists it as uncharacterized. The record is from RefSeq and is a predicted model, not a curated record. The transcript is spliced from 3 exons. NCBI's taxonomy places the organism in Eukaryota, Metazoa, Chordata, Aves, Accipitriformes, Accipitridae.